UUUAAAGUUUUCUUUGGAUAUUUAUUUUGGUCUUCUUUGAUUUCAUUAUUGUUUUCUUUAUUUAUUUUAUUUAGUUGAGUGUUCUUUUGAUUGAUAGUAUUGAUUGCUUAUGUGAAUACUACGUUUGAUUAUAUAGAUUCCAACGGAGUGACGAAUAGUUCUACAAGUCAUUAUUUUUGAGAGCGUAUUUAUCUUCAUCAACUUACCAGGCAAGUUCACUUUGACCAUGUUUUCCAUACCUAUGUUUAUUUGCAUGUAGUAGCACCCUUUCAACAAUCCCUCCAUUAGUGUUAUUGAAUCUUGUAGUUAAGUAGAAUGCAUGAGGUAGAAACCCAUCUCCCUGUUACCAAACCCGGGACGUUAUAUAGUUUUAAUGCUACGCUAUAGUAGACGACGUUUGGUAUGAGUGCAUGAGAGUGGUGUGAAGAAGGAGGACUCAACGUCAAUGGUGACAACUUCAUGAUGGCACUGGCAAGGACUGCAUCUUCAGGACUCCUUCAAGAUUUCGAGACUCGAGACAAGAAUUCAAUACACACUACUGGGUGAAGGACGGUUGACGGGCACCCUGGAGAAACCAAUGGUUGGCCGGGACGCAUGGAGAAGCGCCAUGACAUCUUACGGAAAUCUUCACCCAGACUCAAAGAGACGAAAGAAUACUUCAUGCCUGGAAGCUUACCUGUGCAACCGCAAGUCACUAUGGGCUCUGGCUUGGUUGACCUUAGUUGUGACUCUGGCUGGGACGGUGCUAACAGAUGUAGAACAACGCUAGGAUUGGAUGAGCACCGGACAGUGGUCAGAGGAACUCUUCGGAAGACCAUGUUUCGAUCGUCCUGUUCUCAAACAUCUUGAAGUGCGAGGACGAAAGGGGAGGGAUCGAAUCUUGCGGGUAAAGUGUACAAACCUCUGCAGAGGGUUAAAACCUAAUCGAUUAGUCGUGUCCCCGGUUACGGACAAAUUGAGCCUCUGGACUUGGAUCUAUCCCAGAACUCUCAACACCGGACUGAUCACUUAAUUGUGGGAAACUUAUGAUGAUUUGGGCUAUGAGACAACGGUUGGCGGAACCAUGUCAUGAUAGAAAACUCCAUAGUACAGACUCCUGAUAUUCCUUUGUUGUAGGGAAAAUAAAACCAGCUUUUACGCAAAAACCUCAGACCCAGAGCCACAAAGCCAUAUUGCAUAUAGAAUAGUUUUCAUCUGUUUUUCUUACAGUGAUCUUGCCAAUACAUUCAAUGUACUAACCUACACGGCUGCAACGUAUCAUGUUGAAGGAUUUUAUCUAACGAAUGAGUUCCAUUGAUUGGGUUACGGUCUACACUCAACCUGCCGAUGGUGUUGAUGGGACUCCACACCCGAUUGUUUGUUUUCGCUGAGAAUUAUGAGGUAUAUAUCAAUUUUACGUUAUUUAUACAUGUGAUUGCACUUUGAUAUAUACAUUGAUGUACUGUGUGUGCCAGCAUACUGAUCCAGGGAUGGCACAGAUACACAGAGACUUGACCGUCUGAGGUCAGGUUGCUACAGAUAUGGUAUCAGAGCACAUGUUGACUGUAGGACGUGACCCUAGAAAUCGGAAAGCCCCAGGAUAGGAAAUCUGUAAAAUCUUUUUUUAAAACAUCCCUUACUUCUCAUCUUUUUUGAUUUUAUAAAAUAUCCUCUCUUACCGCAAAUAGUUAGAAUAUACCCCUUUCCCUUUUGACCACAUGGAGGAUCAACUGAAGCCGCUCCAAGAAGGACAAGAUAUCGGACAACCGAUGACCAUUUCAGAGUAAACAUGAUUUGACCAUGCAUUAGAAGAGUUGAAGCGACACCAGUUGAAGACUCCGACGACUUGAAGAAUCAGAAGAAUUAUUUGACCGCUAUAGGACCAAACCCCUGUUAUACACUUACGUUAGAUGCGAUGAUUUGUGAGCUAUCAUUUGUUUGAUGUUUUUUUGACAGCCACAAAAUAAAACUCGUUUCUUCAAAACUAUUGUUUGUAUUGUGUGUAUCCCUCCCCACCUCUCUCUUAUCUCACCCUAAAACCCUUGGACCCAGUAGAUGAUGAAUAAAGUUGGACUGGUAUUCUCUGAACCGAAAACCCAGCCGGAGGCAGAGCUAUGGAUUCAGAACAUGGAGAAUCACUUCGGGAGCAAUUUGGUUUCAAGGAAGAAUGAAGUAUCGUACGCUCUUCGGUACUUUGAAGGAAGUGCUGCAACAUGGUAUCAGAUGCAUCAAGCUAUACAGGGAUGGAAUGGAGCAAGGACUUAGGAAGAAUUCAAGAAUACUCUGACAAGAUCCCGUCUUAUCCGGAAGCACCAUGAUACCCCAAGAAAUAAACCUUGUGCCUACAAGAUUUGCGGAGAAAUAGGACACACCCAGGAGGAACACAAGGAUGGAUGCCCUCAUUGUGAGGAGAAACACCUAGAUGAGGAAUGCCCAACUAGUCAGGUGACUUGUUUCUUGUGUGAAGGAACCACCCACUACCCAGCUCAGUGUCACAUUUCCCCCACGGUGCAACAAACUAUUCAGAAGCAGGAAGAAGGAAUGAAAGAAGCCCUCCGAGAAGUUAUGAAAGAACCCGUGAUUAAGGAAAGUGUUGAAGACCCUGAUGGAGAAGGCCUCAACAGAUUUUACUCCAAUGCCUGUUAUUCAUAAUAUUGCACAAUAUUGCACCAAGGAAAGAAAAGAGUAUCUGGGAUACUUCCUGACAAAAGCAAUGGAGUUUGAUCCACAGGGCAUAGAAUGUUCGAUCAGAACGAAGAAAACCAGGAAGAGAAAACGAAGACACCCUUAGAACAACCCAAUUUCUGCAAAUAGGGACAAGAGUCAUAUUUCCUGUUUUGAAUGUAAGGACAUCGGGCAUUAUGCCAAUGAUUGUAUCGAAAGGAAACAAGGAACUCAAGGAACAGGCACCAUCACCAAGAAGCCUCGAGACAUGCCGGAAGUUAUUUGUUUUCGUUGCAAGGAAGCAGGACAUUUUUCUAGGGAUUGUUCAAAUCAUGAGAAAGCUGGAGCUGAGUAGUGGAGAUGUUGAUAUCAGUAAUAAGGGUAGUAUGGAAAACACUUUUUAAUGAGAAUGCGGGGUUGAGUUAUGUAAUAGAUUACUCAAAGAUUGUAAUAAUUCAUGACACAAUAAAGUUGAUAUGUCAUAUGCUGAAAGGCUUUAAGGAGUUGUUAUGUUUUUUCUUGGAAAUUAAUAUUUUGGGUGAACAUGGAAGAAAAUGAGUUGUGAUGCACAAACUGGAUGUUGGAAAUUGAGUUUGAAGUUUUGUUUGGAUGAUAUGAAUGUGUACCCAAGGAGGUAUGUAUCUUAUUCUGAGCACCAUUUUUGUUUUACAACUGCAGAUGACGACCCUUUAUGAGUCUUUCCUAAAGGGACCGGAAACGAUCAUGACCCUGACAAGUGAUCAUGAUUACCCCAAAAUCCUAAAGGACAUGAUGAAGCAUAUUCACCUUGAAGGAGAUGCAGUCUACAAAGGCUACCCCUUCAUGCAAAAGGGAGUGGAACUUUGGUAUGUGGAGGUACACCUCCACCGUAUGAAAGGAGUUUGCCUAAAGAUGAUGUGGCAGUACUUUUUCAUCUCACGUGUACCACAAGAAACUUUCUUCGAUGCUGUUCGUGAAGCAGCCAUGGAAGCCUUACGCCAGAUCGAAGAAAUACUUGAAGCAAGACUCUGUUAUACUCAGGAAUACCUAAGAGAAGUGCAUGCUGAGAUGAUGGAGAUGAAGCUCAAGGCCACCAUGAUGAAACAGAAGAUUGAAGAUUUCAAGGAGCAUGUCACCCAAUUCUAGUGGGACUGAAGGAUCCUCAAGGAGGAAAAAUGAAUAAAGUGGGAAGACCAAACCAUGUGGAUGGUGGCAUUUGUAAUAAUGUACUUUUUGGAAUUUGGAUUUAUGAAAAAUGGUUAAGGAUGUAAUAAAAGAUUUGAUAUGAAAAUAAUAUGAUUUAUGGAUGAACUAGUGCAUUCCAUUUUAAGUGUGGUAGUACUUUGUAAAGCCACAGGAUCAAUGAAGAAAGAAAGGUGUUGUUCAUGAAGGUCCAUAGAAAGGAGCCAGACAAAAUAAGUUGGAGUUUGAUUAUGAUGGUUACCCCAAGAGUAUGACAAAAUGAAGUACUAUUGGAUUUAAAGGAUGUGUAAUGUUGGAAUAUGGAAGAACUGUAAUUCCAUGGAUGAGUUAACACUAUGCAAGUGCUGAAGUGGACCCAUAACCCACAGGCCCAGGAUUUGACCAAGGCACAAGCACAAUCUUGUUGAAGGAAGAAUUCUGGAAGAGUUACGUAAACCCCAAGAUUGUGAAGAACGAUAGAUGUUUUGUUCAGCUUACAGAAUCAAUGGAUUUACCCGAACCCAGUUCGAGGACAAGAGAAAUUUCCGCAAAGCUUGUGAGGAUGCCCGAGUGUUAGAAAUACGAGAUUCGCUAAACCUUAUACAGGGUAAUGAUCUGGAUGCGGAAUGGAUUGAUCACCAUACUGACUUACUCUUAUCAUUCACUCUUGAUAUUUGGAAUGGUAAAUCUGAGAGACUUACCCAUAGUAAAGUGAUGACGCUCGUUGAAGCUUUGCUUAAGCCUUAGAAUGGUAUGAUGAUAAACCCAUGUACAUGGCAGCUAUUGCCAAUCGUAGAUUAUACAGUGAGAAUGAAGCCAAGGCCCUUUUUCUGCAGAAACCAUUAAUGGUAGACCACCAUGAGUAUUUUGAUAGUUGUCUAGAAUGUACGCAGACCUAUCAGCUAAGAAGAUCCAGUCUCGGAUGAACUUCAUCUUUGACGAAGCGAUCCAAGAUUUUGAGGAAAAUGCUAUGCCUAUGACAGAAAAGCGUUAAUGAAGGAGCUAUUGUAAGAUAUGUGAAGAGACAUAUAUCGUCGGCACUCCAGAGGAAGUACCUGAGUUUAUUGGAACCCUAACCUUGCUUUUAAGUGUGGUAGCACCCCUGACCUUUCCGACCAAAAUAUUUGCUAGAAGACCCCCAACCCCUAACCUUUUCUUGCUAGCCUCUUCGAAUCUCGAGGACGAGAUUCAUUUUAAGUGUGGUAAGUUUGUAACAUCCCAAAAUUCUAUAUUUUGGAAUGUUAUAAUAAAUAAAUAUUUAUGAUUUUUUGUUUGAUUGUUGUGUGAUUGAUUGUGUGAAAUUGAGUGGAAUUUGAAACUUUUUGAAAGUUGAAUGAGAGGGAAUGAAAUGACUUUCCCAAACUUUCACCUUGCAUCUUUAUCUCCAAGAAUUCAAAUUCAUUUCAAUUACAAAACCCUAGAGUGAAGAUGAUAUGACUUCUUCCAUUCAAAGAAAUGAAAAGGGGUUUGAAAAGAUUUGAAUUCCAUCUGAAAAUAUUUCAAAUUUGAAACUUUAUGCAACUCAAUGAUUUUUACGAGAGAAGAUAAAAUGACUUCUUCAAUUAUAUGAAAUAUGAGUUGGAAGUUACAAACAAUCAAAUUGAAAGUCAUUUGGAAGUAUUUUGAAACUCCCUUUCAAUUCGGAAUUAUUUGGAUUUUACUCAAAUUAUUUUUCUCCUAAAAAUAAAUAAAUGGAAACAAGGGUAAAAUGAUUCCCUUCAAUGGAAAAUUAGGAGAAAAUAAAUUUGAAAUCAUUUUGGUAUUUUAAAAAUGAUUUUGUUGGGUUUUAAUGCAACGGUAGCAUUGUUCGCUUUAUAUAUAUAUAUAUAUAUAUAUAUAUAUAUAUAUAUAUAUAUUGGUGGAUUUUAUUUGAACUUUAGAAAUGGUUCAUGUUUUAGGAAAUGUUUUUCCGAACAUUUUGAUAUAUAAUAUGCCUAUAUAAUAUUUCCAUUUUGCUUGGUUUGUGACUUUUCCUACUGUGUGUUAUUAAAAAAAGAGAAAACCAAAAACCAAAUGGCCGAAGCCAUCGGACCGCAGCCCACCUACGCGCCAGGCCGGCCCAGCCAGCUCCGCGCCCCGCACUCGAAUCUCAACCGAUCGGUCGCCCGCUCCCCCUCGACUCCGCCCGCUGCCACUGACCGUUGGGCCCCGCAUCUUCUUCCUCCUCCCGCAAGCCACGCGCUCGCCUGGAGCAACGCCCGCGCCGCCGUAUCCCGGAGAUCUCGGGAUCGCGAUCUCCCGAUUCGUCCCCUCCUCCAAGAACCCCUCCCCCUAUAUAUACCCCUCCUCCUCGUCAGUUUCCUCCCUAAAGCCGUCCCGAACCCCUCUCCAUCGCCUGCAAUCCCUCGCCGGAACCCGAGCGCCGUCGCGCACCAUUGUCGCCCUAGCUCUCCACUACGACCACCUCAUAGCCGUCCGAACCCACCACUGAACCCCCUCGCUCGCCCGCACCUCCCCAUGCCCUCGCCCUCUCCCAAAACCGACCGGAGCACCACCAACGUCGACCACCCGACGCCAUCUCCGCCUCGACCUCGCUGCCGUUCGACUCUGUUGUCUCCAAAGCCGCUACCGACCACCGCUGAGCUCGCCAUCCAGCGCCUCGUCAUCUGGUGCUCUUCCCCGACGCGGAUGACCAUGGGAGCAUCGCCAUUGUCGACCACCGCCGCCACCGCCGUCUCCGGAAUUCCACCGCCGCCGCUGUGAGCUCUCCUUCUCUCCUUCUCUCCUCCCCGUCCGAUCUUAAUCUAACGGUGUAGAUUAGAUCCCACGAACAGUUAGGUUUAUUUUUGUUAGAUCGGGUUUUAGUCACAGUUUUUCUUCGGUUUAGAUCUAACCAGCCGAUCGGGUUAGUUUAUUUGAUUGCACGUAUGUGUUUUAGUUAGGGUUCCACCGAGCGCAGUUUAGCGUCGGAUCGCACAUCCUCUAGCCCAGUAGCAGCCCGACGCUUAGCUAGUGCCCGAUUGUUUUUUUCGUUUGUGUUUUAAAAACAGAAUAGUUCUGAUUUUAUAUUGCUUAUAACUUUUAUGUUUUAGAUCCAAAUUGAUUGAUUAUUUUUGCACUGUGUCACAAAUUUGUUGAAGUUUCCGUUUGUGUACUUGGAUUUCAAUUUUGAGUAGCUGUAGUUUGAAUUUGCAUGAAUUUGCCUCAAACACUAUUUUGGCCAUAACUUGAGUUUGAAAGUAUAUUUUAAGUUGAUUCUUUUUGCUCCUGGUCACUAGGACUUUUGCUUAUCCAUUAGAUUAUAGUGAUUUAUUUUUAGUUUAUUUAAAUUAGGGUUUUAGCGAAAAACAGUACUGUUUUCUAUGUAGUUUUGUUUUUCUUGUAACUUAGUAAGUUCUGUUUAGAUUUAAUUAAUUCUUUUCGCAAAGUUUUGUUGAUUGAAAUUUACAUAUGUUAGACUUCAGUACAAUUUUAGAAAUUAUUUUUAUUAGUUUUGCUACUGUUUAGGAUUUCAGUUUAGCAUAGCUAGUAUAUAGUGUAUGUAAUAGCUAGUAUUGUACUUAUUUUUGCUAGAAAUUAUUUUAGAUAAUUUAUUUCUGUUGUUUUAAUGGAAAUAGAUUUUAUUUUCUGUUAAGAAAUUGUUUAGAUUAAUUUAGUGUGCUUAUGAAAGUUAUUGGUUGAUAGUGUGUUGGUUUUCCCUAGUUUUCUUUAAAGUUUUCUUUGCAUAUUUAUUUUGGUCUUUUUUGAUUUCAUUAUUGUUUUCUUUAUUUAUUUUAUUUAGUUGAGUGUUCUUUUGAUUGAUAGUAUUGAUUGCUUAUGUGAAUACUACGUUUGGUUAUAUAGAUUCCAACGGAGUGACGAAUAGUUCUACAAGUCAUUAUUUUUGAGAGCGUAUUUAUCUUCAUCAACUUACCAGGCAAGUUCACUUUGACCAUGUUUUCCAUACCUAUGUUUAUUUGCAUGUAGUAGCACCCUUUCAACAAUCCCUCCAGUAGUGUUAUUGAAUCUUGUAGUUGAGUAGAAUGCAUGAGGUAGAAACCCAGCUCCCUAUUACCAAACCCGGGAC
RNAcentral lists this long non-coding RNA (7810 nucleotides) under Triticum aestivum (bread wheat). RNAcentral's name for it is "long non-coding RNA (TAES_LNC005306)". Lineage: Eukaryota; Viridiplantae; Streptophyta; Magnoliopsida; Poales; Poaceae. The record is from RNAcentral.